UGGAGAGUUUGAUCCUGGCUCAGAUUGAACGCUGGCGGCAGGCUUAACACAUGCAAGUCGAGCGGAAACGAUCCUAGCUUGCUAGGAGGCGUCGAGCGGCGGACGGGUGAGUAAUGCAUGGGAAUCUGCCCGAUAGUGGGGGACAACCUGGGGAAACUCAGGCUAAUACCGCAUACGUCCUACGGGAGAAAGCAGGGGAUCUUCGGACCUUGCGCUAUCGGAUGAGCCCAUGUCGGAUUAGCUUGUUGGUGAGGUAAUGGCUCACCAAGGCGACGAUCCGUAGCUGGUCUGAGAGGAUGAUCAGCCACACUGGGACUGAGACACGGCCCAGACUCCUACGGGAGGCAGCAGUGGGGAAUAUUGGACAAUGGGCGAAAGCCUGAUCCAGCCAUGCCGCGUGUGUGAAGAAGGCCUUCGGGUUGUAAAGCACUUUCAGCGAGGAAGAACGCCUUGGGAYUAAUACUCCCGAGGAAAGACAUCACUCGCAGAAGAAGCACCGGCUAACUCCGUGCCAGCAGCCGCGGUA
This 526-nucleotide ribosomal RNA is filed under the name Cobetia marina. RNAcentral describes it as "bacterial SSU rRNA". It matches the Rfam family "Bacterial small subunit ribosomal RNA", at positions 1 to 522 of the family's 1533-position model. The record is from RNAcentral. Lineage: Bacteria; Pseudomonadati; Pseudomonadota; Gammaproteobacteria; Oceanospirillales; Halomonadaceae.